UAGCAAUACCAUGAGUAAAGUGGCGCACGGGUGAGUAACACGUGACUAACCUACCCUUGAGUGGGGGAUAACUGAGGGAAACCUUAGCUAAUACCGCAUAAUACCCACGGGUCAAAGGAGCAAUUCGCUCGAGGAGGGGGUCGCGGCCGAUUAGUUAGUUGGCGGGGUAAUGGCCCACCAAGACGAUGAUCGGUAUCCGGCCUGAGAGGGCGCACGGACACACUGGAACUGAAACACGGUCCAG
This 244-nucleotide ribosomal RNA is filed under the name uncultured bacterium. RNAcentral's name for it is "partial 16S ribosomal RNA". It matches the Rfam family "Bacterial small subunit ribosomal RNA", at positions 77 to 334 of the family's 1533-position model. The record is from RNAcentral.